GAACCGUACCCCAAACCGACACAGGUGGUUGGGUAGAGAAUACCAAGGCGCUUGAGAGAACUCGGGUGAAGGAACUAGGCAAAAUGGCACCGUAACUUCGGGAGAAGGUGCGCCGGUGAGGGUGAAGGACUUGCUCCGUAAGCCCACGCCGGUCGAAGAUACCAGGCCGCUGCGACUGUUUAUUAAAAACACAGCACUCUGCAAACACGAAAGUGGACGUAUAGGGUGUGACGCCUGCCCGGUGCCGGAAGGUUAAUUGAUGG
Molecule: ribosomal RNA, 263 nt
Filed under: Pseudomonas jessenii
Lineage: Bacteria; Pseudomonadati; Pseudomonadota; Gammaproteobacteria; Pseudomonadales; Pseudomonadaceae
Also listed under: 1 other name
Description: partial 23S ribosomal RNA
Rfam family: Bacterial large subunit ribosomal RNA
Source: RNAcentral